This 468-nucleotide ribosomal RNA is filed under the name uncultured bacterium. Its description in RNAcentral is "partial 16S ribosomal RNA". It matches the Rfam family "Bacterial small subunit ribosomal RNA", at positions 28 to 507 of the family's 1533-position model. The record is from RNAcentral.
GAUGAACGCUGGCGGCGUGCUUAACACAUGCAAGUCGAACGGAAAGGCCGAAGCUUGCUUCGGUACUCGAGUGGCGAACGGGUGAGUAACACGUGGGUGAUCUGCCCUGUACUUCGGGAUAAGCUUGGGAAACUGGGUCUAAUACCGGAUAUGACGAUCUCUUGGAUGGGGUUGUGGAAAGCUUUUGCGGUAUGGGAUGAGCUCGCGGCCUAUCAGCUUGUUGGUGGGGUAAUGGCCUACCAAGGCGUCGACGGGUAGCCGGCCUGAGAGGGUGUACGGCCGCAUUGGGACUGAGAUACGGCCCAGACUCCUACGGGAGGCAGCAGUGGGGAAUAUUGCACAAUGGGCGCAAGCCUGAUGCAGCGAGGCCGCGUGGGGGAUGACGGCCUUCGGGUUGUAAACUCCUUUGGCAAUCGACGAAGCCUUUUGGUGACGGUAGGUUGAGAAGAAGCACCGGCUAACUACGUG